Molecule: long non-coding RNA, 838 nt
Organism: Alexandromys fortis (reed vole)
Lineage: Eukaryota; Metazoa; Chordata; Mammalia; Rodentia; Cricetidae
Exons: 4
Source: RefSeq, a predicted model, not a curated record
GCUACUUCACGGCUAGAGACACAAGUGGCACAGGACAGGAGACCCUUCUUCAGCCCAUACUGCCAAGAGCAGGAUUGCUGUGUCCUGUGUAUGCUGCAGUGAAGAAGUCUUCUGUCAAAAUGUACUCAUAGCUCUAGUUCAUGGGUAGACUUCUUCCCUUGCCAUAGUUUCCUAACUGCUUCCCUCGCUGAUUGCAUUUAAUACCUGUAUUUGCUGUACCUCUAAUGCCCAAAGAAAGAAGGCUAUGUUUAUUUUGUUUUUAAAUUAGUCUUGAUUUCUAGGAUUAAGAGCCCUUCUAGAAAGGUUCCAAGAGAGUCUCUGAAGCCAUUUUCUAGUGUCAAUGUCAUAUAAAAGAUGAAUAUUUGGUGGCCAAGGGUUGUUUGACUUGGGAUCACGGUUCCCCAGUAAUACUGGUGUUUCUCUCUUUAGCAUGAGUCUGCCCUGCCCUGGGAUGACCACAGACCACAUAUUACCUGGCGUGGGGAUGGGCAGUUUUUUGCUGUGAGUGUUGUUUGCCCACAAACAGGGGCUCGGAAGAUCAGAGUAUGGAACCGAGAGUUUACUUUGCACUCAACUAGCGAGCCUGUGCCAGGACUGGGGCCCCACCUGGCUUGGAAACCUUCAGGCAGUUUGAUUGCAUCUACUCAAGAUAAACCCAACCAGCAAGAUGUUGUGUUUCUUGAGAAAAACGGACUUCUUCAUGGCCAGUUUACACUUCCUUUCUUCAAAGAUGAAGUUAAAGUAAAUGACUUGCUGUGGAACGCAGAUUCUACUGUGCUUGCUGUGUGGCUAGAAGACCUUCCAAGGGAAAACCAUCCUAUUCUGAAAAGUUAUGGUA